RNAcentral lists this ribosomal RNA (759 nucleotides) under uncultured Staphylococcus sp. RNAcentral's name for it is "bacterial SSU rRNA". It matches the Rfam family "Bacterial small subunit ribosomal RNA", at positions 63 to 804 of the family's 1533-position model. The record is from RNAcentral. Lineage: Bacteria; Bacillati; Bacillota; Bacilli; Caryophanales; Staphylococcaceae.
CGAGCGAACGGACGAGAAGCUUGCUUCUCUGAUGUUAGCGGCGGACGGGUGAGUAACACGUGGAUAACCUACCUAUAAGACUGGGAUAACUUCGGGAAACCGGAGCUAAUACCGGAUAAUAUUUUGAACCGCAUGGUUCAAAAGUGAAAGACGGUCUUGCUGUCACUUAUAGAUGGAUCCGCGCUGCAUUAGCUAGUUGGUAAGGUAACGGCUUACCAAGGCAACGAUGCAUAGCCGACCUGAGAGGGUGAUCGGCCACACUGGAACUGAGACACGGUCCAGACUCCUACGGGAGGCAGCAGUAGGGAAUCUUCCGCAAUGGGCGAAAGCCUGACGGAGCAACGCCGCGUGAGUGAUGAAGGUCUUCGGAUCGUAAAACUCUGUUAUUAGGGAAGAACAUAUGUGUAAGUAACUGUGCACAUCUUGACGGUACCUAAUCAGAAAGCCACGGCUAACUACGUGCCAGCAGCCGCGGUAAUACGUAGGUGGCAAGCGUUAUCCGGAAUUAUUGGGCGUAAAGCGCGCGUAGGCGGUUUUUUAAGUCUGAUGUGAAAGCCCACGGCUCAACCGUGGAGGGUCAUUGGAAACUGGAAAACUUGAGUGCAGAAGAGGAAAGUGGAAUUCCAUGUGUAGCGGUGAAAUGCGCAGAGAUAUGGAGGAACACCAGUGGCGAAGGCGACUUUCUGGUCUGUAACUGACGCUGAUGUGCGAAAGCGUGGGGAUCAAACAGGAUUAGAUACCCUGGUAGUCCACGCCGUA